RNAcentral lists this long non-coding RNA (1017 nucleotides) under Vulpes vulpes (red fox). RNAcentral describes it as "lncRNA (ENSVVUG00000019655.1)". The record is from RNAcentral. Lineage: Eukaryota; Metazoa; Chordata; Mammalia; Carnivora; Canidae.
AGCACAGGAGGCUAGCAGCCCUGUCACACUGGCUCAGGAAUUUGAUUUUUCUUAUUCUAAGAGUGAAGAGGCAGACAAGCAGGAGGAAAGCAGGCGGUUAAAAGUCCAUGACAGUACUCAAGAACAAAGUGGAUAGAUUAGGUCUCAGAGAUCCUGUUUGACCCCAGGCAAAGAGUAACAAAGAGGGGGAAUCCAAAGAGAAAAACAAAAGAUACAAUUCAAGGAAACUUCUUCUUUUUUCUUUUUCUAGGAAACCUCUAAUCUCUUUACUGAGAGCUCAGACUUCUGGAAUAGCCCUCUCAGUCUUGGUCUUACUAGUUGACCCCACUAAUGCAGACUCUGUUUUAGGUAUUCUCAAGCCAUAUCCAGAAAACCAGAGUGUGUUCCUGCUGUAUUUGCGCCAGGGAUGGGGAGAACUGGGAAUGUGAAAGCUGCACUCCUACAGUACAUGAUGAAAUGUCACUGAUGAUCUCUGCCAAUGAAGGCGUGCCUUGGAAAACCCAUGUGACUCAGUGGCCUUCCACUGGCAUCCAUUCAGUCCCCUUCACCCAAGAUUAUCAGGGAAUCCACUUAGCUUCCAAAACACAUCUGGGAAAAUAUGAAGAGGUCUUCCUGCAAGCCAGUAGAGCUCAUCACGGUCCUCAGCUGGAAGCACAGAGCCCACCGUUGGAGACAGAAAUCAGCAGCAGAGCAACUCAGUCUCCGAGAGGAUUUAAUACGCAAAUACACACAGAGAGUCUCCCAGAGAAAGAGGAUGCUGUCUUUCUGAAAUGUAUCAAAUGACUAAAUCGCCUUGAUGAAGAGUAGUUCAUGGGGUAGUUUUCUGUGGAGCAUGAUUUGGAAAUACACAGCAGGUCUCAGCGGGAAAUAUUUGUAGACCAUCUCUUAGGACAAACGAUGUAUUUUAUUUUUCAGCAUUCAUGGAACAAGGUGAUUUUUCUUCCUUGUCUUAUUUUUAGAAGUUGUUCUCUGUCUGGAUACUACUCAGUAAGCUUUAAUUCCAAUAAUAUUGACAUU